AGUCAUCCAUCAUACAGAUAGGUUAUUGCAAAAUUACCUCCCACGUCAUUCCAAGUUGCUCUAAUCUGCUGUCUCUGCUCUCCACCUGCAGUUCUUUCUAUUUAUUCCAGAUUUGGAGUUGAUAAUCUCUCCUGCUUUCCAGCUGUUUGACUGUUCUCCUGGGGGAUGCAUUCUUUCCUGCAGCUGAGAACUCAUCUGAUUCUAGUGCCAUUUUCAAACUACGUGGUGCCAUCACGACUGAAGAAUACUUGCAAUCCUGUGUAUGGAAUGAGAGGAAAGUAGAUCCUGUGGUGUGUUAGCUAAGGGGGAAAACCAGCCCAUGGGGAUGAUUUCGUCAGGCCCCUGAAUUUGCUCACCAUCCCAGAAGAACUACGCUACAAAUGGUGUCCUCUACACAGCGUGACCACUCACUCACCAUACUUACAAUGUCAUGCUGCAUGGAGGACAAUGAUGGGACAGGGAUAGGUGCCUCCUUCUGCUUGGGAUCUUCAGUCACAAACUCUCUCCUGGAGUUAGGCUUCUAAGCAAGUGGCAUCCCAGAGCGCCAGUCAUGGACCAGGCCUCCAUUGUGCUACAUGCUGCGGAAACAGAACAAAAAGGCGGAAUCUUUAAGCCAAAGAGCUUCCAACCUAUAUAAAAUACCAUUCCAGCUGGCAUCCAGGUGGAGCAGAAGGGGGGAACUGCAUAAAUGCAGGGACUCUCCUUUCUCCUUCUGCAGAGGAGCACCAGUCUCAUUGUCUCUCCGUGCCUCUUCUCUGCAGUGACUCUGGGAUCCAGCCAAUCUUCAGCCAUGAAGACCCUUUACCUUCUCUUUGCUGUUUUCUGCUUAGUUUUCCAUGUCCAGGCCAAUCCCAUGCCUGUUCCUGAGGAUGUGCCACAAGG
Chelonia mydas (Green sea turtle) is the source of this 882-nucleotide long non-coding RNA. RefSeq lists it as uncharacterized. NCBI's taxonomy places the organism in Eukaryota, Metazoa, Chordata, Testudines, Cheloniidae. The record is from RefSeq and is a predicted model, not a curated record. The transcript is spliced from 5 exons.